UGCGGGGUGGUGUAACGGUAACACGUCGGACUUUGGAUCCGAAGUUCCAGGUUCGAAUCCUGGCCCCGCAGCCA
RNAcentral lists this transfer RNA (74 nucleotides) under Dehalococcoidia bacterium. RNAcentral's name for it is "tRNA-Gln". It matches the Rfam family "tRNA". From Rfam's summary of the family: Transfer RNA (tRNA) molecules are approximately 80 nucleotides in length. Their secondary structure includes four short double-helical elements and three loops (D, anti-codon, and T loops). Further hydrogen bonds mediate the characteristic L-shaped molecular structure. tRNAs have two regions of fundamental functional importance: the anti-codon, which is responsible for specific mRNA codon recognition, and the 3' end, to which the tRNAs corresponding amino acid is attached (by aminoacyl-tRNA synthetases). tRNAs cope with the degeneracy of the genetic code in two manners: having more than one tRNA (with a specific anti-codon) for a particular amino acid; and 'wobble' base-pairing, i.e. permitting non-standard base-pairing at the 3rd anti-codon position. Lineage: Bacteria; Bacillati; Chloroflexota; Dehalococcoidia. The record is from RNAcentral.